CUCCUCUCUUUUCCCACUCCUGUUUUUCCACUCCUAUUUUCCCCAUCUCUCUCUUCCCACUCCUCUCUUUUCCCACUCUUCCCACUCCUCUUUAACCAUUCAUUUCCCCCCCUUAUCUUUCCCUCCAUCUCUCUUUUCCCAUUCCUCUCUUUUCUCAUUUCUCUCUUUUCCCCUCCUCUCUUUUUCCAUUCCUGUUUUUCCACUCCUAUUUUCCCCUCUCUCUUCCCACUCUUCUUUAACCAUUCCUUAUUUUUCCCCCUUAUCUUUUCCCCCUCCUCUCUUUUCCCAUUCUCUCUCUUCCCACUCCUCUCUUUUCCCACUCUUCCCACUCUUCUUUAACCAUUCCUUCUUUUCCCCCCUUACCUUUCCCCCCUCCUCUCUUUUCCCAUUCCUCUCUUUUGCUCCACCUCUCUUUUCCCACUCCUCUCCUUUCCCACUCCUCUAUCUCCCUCUUCUCUUUCCCCCCUUUUCCCAUCCCUGCCUGCUCCCAGUCCCUCCCUUUAUUUCUUUUCCUCUCGCCGUGCCCCGAGGACCAGGACGGACGAGGCAGCCCAGGGAGCAGAGUCCCCUCCUAAUCCCCAAAUCCAUUUUUGGGACAUCAGGGAAGCGAGAAAAGCCGGAGCGGCUGCUGGGACUCCGCUGAUCCGGCGCAAGUUUGGGAAGAGGAGGGGAGGGAUCGCUGUGGGGGCCGCGAUAAUUGUGCCCACAACUGUCCCCACAACUGUCCCCACAACUGUCCCCAAAUUAUCCCCACAACUGUCCCCACAAUUGUCCCCACAACUGUCCCCAAAUUGUCCCCACAAUUGUCCCCACAAUUGUCCCACAACUGUCCCCACAACUGUCCCCACAACUGUCCCCACAACUGUGCCCACAAAUGUUCCCACAACUGUCCCCACAAUUGUCCCACAACUGUCCCCACAAUUGUCCCCACAAUUGUCCCCACAAAUGUCCCCACAACUGUCCCCACAACUGUCCCCACAACUGUCCCCACAACUGUGCCCACAACUGUCCCCACAAUUGUCCCCACAACUGUGCCCACAACUGUCCCCACAACUGUGCCCACAACUGUCCCCACAAUUGCCCCACAAUUGUCCCCACAAUUGUCCCCACAAUUGCCCCACACGUGGCGGUGCCUGUGGGGGUGGAAGGUGCUGUGACAAUGCCACAGGUGCCACCUGCGGCCGCAGCGUCCCCGGGCAGCUCAGCCCAGCCCAGCCCAGCCCAGCCCAGCCCAGUUCAGCUCAGCCCAGCUCAGCUCAGCCCAGCUCAGUUUUCAAU
Molecule: long non-coding RNA, 1278 nt
Filed under: Lonchura striata (white-rumped munia)
Lineage: Eukaryota; Metazoa; Chordata; Aves; Passeriformes; Estrildidae
Description: domestica (Bengalese finch) lncRNA (ENSLSDG00000017349.1)
Source: RNAcentral